This 2748-nucleotide long non-coding RNA is filed under the name Homo sapiens (human). RNAcentral's name for it is "HSALNT0014410". The record is from RNAcentral. Lineage: Eukaryota; Metazoa; Chordata; Mammalia; Primates; Hominidae.
GGCAAAUAAGGGUAUAAAAGCUGGCCACGCGGAGCACCCAGCCAGCUGCUGCAACCCGCUGCCCUCUGGUGUCCUGCUGUGGGAGCUUUGUUCUUUCACUCUCGUAAUAAGUCUUGCUGCUGCUCACUCUUUGGGUCCGCACUGUCUCUGUGAGCUGUAACACUCACCGCGAGGUUCUGUGCCUUCGUUCUUUAAGUCAGGGAGACCACGAACCCACCGGGAGGAACAAACAACUGUGAUGCGCCAUCUUUAAGAGCUGUAACAUUCACCGCCGGGGUCUGCGGCUUCAUUCCUGGAGUGAGUGAGACCACGAACCCACCAGAAGGAAGAAACUCUGGACCCAUCUGAACAGCUGAAGGAACAAACUCCGGACACACCAUCUUUAAGAACUGUAACACUCACCGGGAGUCUCCGUGGCUUCAUUCUUGAAGACAGCGAGACCAAGAACCCACCAGAAGGAAUGAAUUCCGCACACAGCAACAGCACAAAGUUAAACCAGGAAGUCCCUCUGCCUUGCUAGGGAUCCAGGUUUGCCUUCCUGUUGAGGUAUCCCAUUUCAUUACAGUUGACCUAAGUUUGAACAAACACUGCCACCUGAUGCAUGAAAGCUCUACUGUGACCUACGUUAAAAGGAGCUGACACUCCCUCAGGCUACCUUAGUCAGUGGGGGCUUACUGCAGCAUACCUGUGGCGAUGAGAGAGAGAGGCACAUCACAGGAGCAUCUGGCACCAGUGGCAUCCUGAAUUUAAGAUGAAACAAUAGAGAAAGAACCAAGAAGUUACAUACAUUCAUCAGAAUUGCUGGAGAGUCCUGACCUCUGGCCAUCGAUCAAAGGGAAGCGUUCACUACUGAAGGUUUGUCUUCACUGUACUGGGUAUUCAACUUCCUUGAAAUUAAAAGGAAGAAGGAUAAAAAGUGGUAUGCUGAAUGGAUUAAAGCCUUGUUUCAACUCUUUAAUGAGUGGACUAUUCUCUGAAGCUGGCCCUCAGUCUUACUCUGGGUUCAUCAACCAAGGUCAAGAUCUGUCCACAUGCACGUAACAGGAGCACUUUUCCGAGAAUUGUAAAGGAGCCACGGUGCAAAGCCUUCUGGACCUGGGUCUCAUGUGAAAACUCAGCAAUGAGCCUCCUGGCCUGAGAUGAGCCUGCGGAGCACCUUGUUACAGCACGCAUAUGAUGUAUAUAAAAAAUGAACACAUGUAUUCCAAUUACACUGAUUUGAUCUUUACAAACUAUAUGGAUGUAUUAAAUUGUCACAUGUACCCUCAAAAUAUGUACAUCUAUUAUGUAUCAAUAAAAUAAUUAACAUAUUUUUAACUUGUUUUUGGUAGAGCCGUAACAUCUGGGGAGCAAUUAAUUGCAGAAGCAAUUAAUCUGGCUAUUGACUGAUAUUUACUCAGGACAAGGAAAACUAUCAUUACUAAGUAAGAUGUGCAAGAAAGAUUAAUUCACAGUAAGCAAGAUUUUUGUAGCUUGUACUGCUAUAAAUUUGUAUUACUGACUGACAUUGGGACCAUCUACAUGUAAAUCCUACAAAUCAGGACAGAACAGUGACCUCCUCAAGUGCUCAUCAUACUUAUCUCAGUUUCCAGAAGUCAGCAAUCAAUCUGAAAAGGUAACUAAAAUGGCACUUAUAAGAACCAUAGAUUGGUAAAGUUAAUUAUCCAUAUUUGUUAAUAAUACAAAUAAUAGUUAAUAUUUAUAAUGCCCCUACCAUGUACCAGGCUUCAUGCUAAGUACUUUAUAUUUUUAAAUUUUUAUUUCAAUAGCUCUUGGGGUACAAGUGGUUUUUUGUGGCAUGGAUGAAUUAUACGGUGGUGAAUUUGAAGAUUUUAGUGCACCUGUCACCCAAGUAGUGUACAUUGUACCUAAUGGGUAGUUUUUUUUAUCCUGAGAACCUCUUCCAACCUCCCACUUCUGAUUCUCCAAAGUCCAUUAUAUCACUCUGUAUGCCUUUGUGUACUCAUAUAUGCUUUAUAUCACUUAAUCCUAACAACAAUACUAUGAGGUAGAUACUAUUAUUUUCCCCAAUAUAUAGUGAUGCACCACAUAGUUUCAGUCAGUGAUGGACUGCAUUUAAGACAGUAGUCCCAUAAGAUUAUAGUGGAGCUGAGAAGUUUCUAUCAUCUGUAAUGUUGUAGCCAUCAUAAUGUUGUAGCACAACCCAUUACUCAUGUUUGUGGUGAUGAUAUAAACAAAUCUCCUGCAUUGCCAGUCACAUAAAAGCAUAACACAUACAAUUAUGAACAGUACCUAAUACUUGAUAAUGGUAACAAAUGACUAUGUUACUGCUUUAUAUAUAAUAUUUACUAUACUAUAGUUUUUUACUGUUAUUUUAGAGUGUACUCCUUUUACUUAUGAAAAAAAGGUCACUGUGGCCGGGCGCAGUGGCUCAUACCUGUAAUCCCAGCACUUUGGGAGGCCGAGGCAGGUGGAUCACGGGGUCAGGAGUUCAAGACCAGCCUGGCCAAGAUGGUGAAACCCCAUCUCUAAUAAAAAUACAAAAAUUAGCCAGGCAUGGUGGCGUGUGCCUAUAAUCCCAGCUACUCGGGAGGCUGAAGAAGAGAAUUGCUUGAACCCGGGAGGUGGAGGUUGCAGUGAGCCGAAGUCAUGCCACUGCACUCCAGCCUGGGCGACAGAGCAAGACUCCGUUUACAAAAAAAAAAAAAGAAAAGAAAAAAGGUUAUUGUAACACAGCUUCAGGCAGGUCCUUCAGGAGGUAUUUCAGAAGAAGGCAUUGUUAUUCUA